AUUGAACGCUGGCGGCAGGCCUAACACAUGCAAGUCGAACGGAGCGGCGGACGGGGGAGUAAUGCCUAGGAAUCUGCCUGGGAGUGGGGGAUAACGUCCGGAACCGGGCGCUAAAACUGCAAAAUCUUAGAUGAGCCUAGGUGGGAUUAGCUUGAGGGUGGGGUAAAGGCCGACCAAGGCGACGAUCCGUAACUGGUCUGAGAGGAUGAUCAGUCACACUGGAACUUGGACACGGUCCAGACUCCUACGGGAGGCAGCAGUGGGGAAUAUUGGACAAUGGGCGAAAGCCUGAUGCAGCCAUGCCGCGUGUGCGAAGAAGGUCUUCGGAUUGUAAAGCACUUUAAGUUGGGAGGCGUUACCAACAGAAUAAGCACCGGCUAACUUCGUGCCAGCAGCCGCGGUAAUUC
RNAcentral lists this ribosomal RNA (407 nucleotides) under uncultured bacterium. Its description in RNAcentral is "partial 16S ribosomal RNA". It matches the Rfam family "Bacterial small subunit ribosomal RNA", at positions 30 to 526 of the family's 1533-position model. The record is from RNAcentral.